AUUGAACGCUGGCGGCAUGCCUUACACAUGCAAGUCGAACGGCAGCACGGGAGCAAUCCUGGUGGCGAGUGGCGAACGGGUGAGUAAUAUAUCGGAACGUGCCCAGUCGUGGGGAUAACGUAGCGAAAGCUACGCUAAUACCGCAUACGAUCUAUGGAUGAAAGCGGGGGAUCGCAAGACCUCGCGCGAUUGGAGCGGCCGAUAUCAGAUUAGGUAGUUGGUGAGGUAAAGGCUCACCAAGCCGACGAUCUGUAGCUGGUCUGAGAGGACGACCAGCCACACUGGGACUGAGACACGGGCCCAGACUCCUACGGGAGGCAGCAGUGGGGAAUUUUGGACAAUGGGCGCAAGCCUGAUCCAGCAAUGCCGCGUGCAGGAUGAAGGCCUU
This 388-nucleotide ribosomal RNA is filed under the name uncultured bacterium. Its description in RNAcentral is "bacterial SSU rRNA". It matches the Rfam family "Bacterial small subunit ribosomal RNA", at positions 30 to 418 of the family's 1533-position model. The record is from RNAcentral.